GCGUCUUGAGGUCCUGGUGUUCAAAAAAAUUCUUAGAGUGAGAAUUUUGGAGGAGGAAUCAUCUCAAAGAGUUAGUGUCCUGAUCAUAGCCCUGUGUGGAUCACCGUUGGAGGGCGAACACUUGGGCGCCUGGUGGAGGUUCUGCUGAAAUUUGGAUUAAGCGCUGCAGGUAUUCUUCUAUAACUUAAAUUUAAUCUUGAAUUUAUGUUAUAUAUGAUUGUUAAUCAUCAAGGAGAUACUGGUUUAAGGGUUUAAUAUUUAGGAUUUCUUUAUUAAAAUUUUGAAAUCCAUUAUGUUUCCACUGUGCAUGCCCACUCUGAAACCCUACACA
RNAcentral lists this long non-coding RNA (331 nucleotides) under Elaeis guineensis (African oil palm). RNAcentral describes it as "long non-coding RNA (EGUI_LNC068350)". The record is from RNAcentral. Lineage: Eukaryota; Viridiplantae; Streptophyta; Magnoliopsida; Arecales; Arecaceae.